Molecule: ribosomal RNA, 660 nt
Filed under: uncultured bacterium
Lineage: Bacteria
Description: bacterial SSU rRNA
Rfam family: Bacterial small subunit ribosomal RNA
Source: RNAcentral
AGAGUUUGAUCCUGGCUCAGGACGAACGCUGGCGGUGUGCUUCACACAUGCAAGUCGAACGGAGUAGCAAUACUCAGUGGCGGACGGGUGAGUAACACGUGGGAAUCUACCAUUAGGUGGGGAAUAACAGGCCGAAAGGACUGCUAAUGCCGCAUAUGUAGGCAUCCCGACAGAGAUGUUUAUGAAAGGAGUAAUCCGCCUUUUGAUGAGCCCGCGUCCGAUUAGCUAGUUGGUAGGGUAAAAGCCUACCAAGGCGACGAUCGGUAGGUGGUCUGAGAGGAUGAUCACCCACAAUGGGACUGAGACACGGCCCAUACUCCUACGGGAGGCAGCAGUGGGGAAUUUUACGCAAUGGGGGAAACCCUGACGUAGCGACACCGCGUGAGCGAAGAAGCCCUUUGGGGUGUAAAGCUCUGUCAACAGGAACGAAACAAAUGACGGUACCUGUGGAGGAAGCAUCGGCUAACUACGUGCCAGCAGCCGCGGUAAGACGUAGGAUGCAAGCGUUGUCCGGAUUUAUUGGGCGUAAAGAGUUCGUAGGCGGUUUGUUAAGUCCGAUGUUAAAGACCGGGGCUCAACCUCGGAAAUGCAUUGGAUACUGGCAGACUGGAGUGCAGUAGAGGCUAGUGGAAUUCCCAGUGUAGCGGUGAAAUGCGUAGA